This 443-nucleotide long non-coding RNA is filed under the name Mytilus galloprovincialis (Mediterranean mussel). Lineage: Eukaryota; Metazoa; Mollusca; Bivalvia; Mytilida; Mytilidae. The record is from RNAcentral.
GUUCUCUCUGAUUGUAAAUUAUAUCUGAUAAAUUAAAAUACUUUCACUUCUUUUUUCAUUGUUUGCAUUUGCAUCAUAAUGGUCGCGUUGUUUGGAUUGUGAGACGAGAGUUUCGAUUUACUUCCAUGAUCAUUAAUUUGAAAUGUUGGAAUGGCCGAUUAAAAAGUCAGAAUAUUAUCAAACGUAAUUUCAUCACUUUCGAAACGUUGUCGUACAGUGUACAAUAUCCAUUGAUUGUUGUCAUCCGGGUGUUUUUUAUUAUCAAGGUCAUUUGUUUAGGGGUUCACAACAGGGAACCCAGGAUUUCGAAAUCACGAUGUGAAUUUCUUACUCCGCGAUUGUAAUUUGUUUAUUCAAGUUAAAACGUAAGUUCAAUCCGAGAUAUAUUCGGUGUGUCUUUUCGUUUAAUUGACACGUUUAAAAUGUUUUAAUAAAUAAUACAG